UACGUAGGGGGCAAGCGUUGUCCGGAUUUAUUGGGCGUAAAGAGCGUGUAGGCGGCCUGACAGGUCUGCUGUGAAAACUCGAGGCUCAACCUCGAGAUGUCGGCGGAAACCGUCUGGCUAGAGUCCGGAAGAGGAGAGUGGAAUUCCUGGUGUAGCGGUGAAAUGCGCAGAUAUCAGGAAGAACACCUAUGGCGAAGGCAGCUCUCUGGGACGGUACUGACGCUAAGGCGCGAAAGCGUGGGGAGCGAACAGG
This 253-nucleotide ribosomal RNA is filed under the name uncultured bacterium. RNAcentral's name for it is "partial 16S ribosomal RNA". It matches the Rfam family "Bacterial small subunit ribosomal RNA", at positions 524 to 776 of the family's 1533-position model. The record is from RNAcentral.